AACGCUGGCGGCAGGCUUAACACAUGCAAGUCGAGCGGGGAAAGGUAGCUUGCUACCUGACCUAGCGGCGGACGGGUGAGUAAUGCUUAGGAAUCUGCCUAUUAGUGGGGGACAACAUUCCGAAAGGAAUGCUAAUACCGCAUACCCCCUACGGGGGAAAGCAGGGGAUCUUCGGACCUUGCGCUAAUAGAUGAGCCUAAGUCAAAUUAGCUAGUUGGUGGGGUAAAGGCCUACCAAGGCGACUAUCUGUAGCGGGUCUGAGAGGAUGAUCCGCCACACUGGGACUGAGACACGGCCCACACUCCUACGGGAGGCAGCAGUGGGGAAUAUUGGACAAUGGGCGAAAGCCUGAUCCAGCCAUGCCGCGUGUGUGAAGAAGGUCUUUUGGUUGUAAAGCACCUUAAGCGAGGAGGAGGCUACUUAUAUUAAUACUCUAGGAUAGUGGACGUUACUCGCAAAAUAAGCACCGGCUAUCUCUGUGCCAGCAGCCGCGGUAAUACGGGGGGUGCGAGCGUUAAUCGGAUUUACUGGGCGUAAAGCGUGCGUAGGCGUCUUUUUUAAGUCGGAUGUGAAAUCCCUGAGCUUAACUUAGGAAUUGCAUUCGAUACUGGGAAGCUAGAGUAUGGGAGAGGAUGGUAGAAUUCCAGGUGUAGCGGUGAAAUGC
Molecule: ribosomal RNA, 664 nt
Filed under: uncultured bacterium
Lineage: Bacteria
Description: bacterial SSU rRNA
Rfam family: Bacterial small subunit ribosomal RNA
Source: RNAcentral